This 68-nucleotide transfer RNA is filed under the name Stolotermes victoriensis. Its description in RNAcentral is "tRNA-Ser". The record is from RNAcentral. Lineage: Eukaryota; Metazoa; Arthropoda; Insecta; Blattodea; Termopsidae.
GAAAUGUGUUAGACCAAGUGAAAGCUGCUAACUUAUCACUAUAGCGGUUAAAAUCCGUUUACAUUUCU